AUACGGAGGAUCCGAGCGUUAUCCGGAUUUAUUGGGUUUAAAGGGUGCGCAGGCGGCCAUUUAAGUCAGCGGUUAAAUCGUGGGGCUCAACCCCAUUCUGCCGUUGAUACUGGGUGGCUUGAUUGCGGUCGAGGUUGGCGGAAUUCGUUGUGUAGCGGUGAAAUGCAUAGAUAUGACGAAGAACACCGAUUGCGUAGGCAGCUGACCAGACCGCAAAUGACGCUCAUGCACGAAAGUGCGGGGAUCGAACAGGAUUAGAUACCUUGGUAGUCCGCACAGUAAACGAUGAAUACUUGUUUUCGGCGAUAUAAUGUCGGAGGCAAAGCGAAAGCGAUAAGUAUUCCACCUGGGGAGUACGCCGGCAACGGUGAAACUCAAAUGAAUUGACGGGG
RNAcentral lists this ribosomal RNA (392 nucleotides) under uncultured bacterium. RNAcentral describes it as "partial 16S ribosomal RNA". It matches the Rfam family "Bacterial small subunit ribosomal RNA", at positions 523 to 918 of the family's 1533-position model. The record is from RNAcentral.